AGUGAACGCUGGCGGCGUGCUUAAUACAUGCAAGUCGAACGAUGAAGCCUCUAGCUUUCUCGCAGUGGUUUAUUAGCCCACGGAUGAUUAAUAUAUAGUCAAUCUGCCUUUCACUAAUGAACAACAAUUGCAAACGAUUUCUAAUACCCCAUACUUUAACUUAACAUGAUGUGAGUUCGUAAAGUCUUUUCGGUGGAAGAUGAAACUAUAACGUAUCAGCUAGUUGGUAAGGUAAUUGCUUACCAAGGCUAUGACGCGUAACUGGGCUGAGAGGAUGAUCAGGCAAAUUGGGAAUGAGACACGGUCCAAACUCCUACGGGAGGGAGGAGUAAGGAAUAAUGUGAAAAGGGAGAAACGCUGAAGCAGCAACGGCGGGGGGAGGGUGAAAGUUUUCAGAGUGUAAAAGCCUUUUGAUAAGGGAGGAUAAUGACGGUACCUAACGAAUAAGCUCCGGCUAACUCCGUG
This 465-nucleotide ribosomal RNA is filed under the name uncultured bacterium. RNAcentral's name for it is "partial 16S ribosomal RNA". It matches the Rfam family "Bacterial small subunit ribosomal RNA", at positions 29 to 507 of the family's 1533-position model. The record is from RNAcentral.